CGCGGCCUAUCAGCUUGUUGGUGAGGUAAUGGCUCACCAAGGCUUCGACGGGUAGCCGGCCUGAGAGGGUGACCGGCCACACUGGGACUGAGACACGGCCCAGACUCCUACGGGAGGCAGCAGUGGGGAAUAUUGGACAAUGGGCGGAAGCCUGAUCCAGCAACGCCGCGUGAGGGAUGACGGCCUUCGGGUUGUAAACCUCUUUCAGCACAGACGAAGCGCAAGUGACGGUAUGUGCAGAAGAAGGACCGGCCAACUACGUGCCAGCAGCCGCGGUAAUACGUAGGGUCCGAGCGUUGUCCGGAAUUAUUGGGCGUAAAGGGCUCGUAGGCGGUUUGUCGCGUCGGGAGUGAAAACUCAGGGCUUAACCCUGAGCCUGCUUCCGAUACGGGCAGACUAGAGGUAUGCAGGGGAGAACGGAAUUCCUGGUGUAGCGGUGAAAUGCGCAGAUAUCAGGAGGAACACCGGUGGCGAAGGCGGUUCUCUGGGCAUUACCUGACGAUGAGGAGCGAAAGUGUGGGGAGCGAACAGGAUUAGAUACCCUGGUAGUCCACACCGUAAACGUUGGGCGCUAGGUGUAGACUCAUUCCACGAGUUCCGUGCCGCAGCUAACGCUUUAUGCCCCCCGCCUGGGGAGUACGG
RNAcentral lists this ribosomal RNA (642 nucleotides) under uncultured Actinomycetes bacterium. RNAcentral describes it as "bacterial SSU rRNA". It matches the Rfam family "Bacterial small subunit ribosomal RNA", at positions 232 to 885 of the family's 1533-position model. Lineage: Bacteria; Bacillati; Actinomycetota; Actinomycetes. The record is from RNAcentral.